GUGCUUGCUUCAGCAGCACAUAUACUAAAAUUGGAACGAUACAAAGAAGAUUAGCAUGGCCCCUGUGCAAGGAUGACACAUCAAAUAAUAAAAAAAAAAAAGCGAAA
Molecule: small nuclear RNA, 107 nt
Organism: Sapajus apella (tufted capuchin)
Lineage: Eukaryota; Metazoa; Chordata; Mammalia; Primates; Cebidae
Source: RefSeq, a predicted model, not a curated record